RNAcentral lists this ribosomal RNA (477 nucleotides) under uncultured archaeon. Its description in RNAcentral is "partial 16S ribosomal RNA". The record is from RNAcentral.
UGCUCCCCGCUCAUUCCUUUAAGUGAACUGCGACGGCAGAAAAUCUGCUCGUCGAUUCAGCCUUGCGACCGUACUCCCCAGGCGGCGAGCUUAACGGCUUCCCUGCGACACUUCGAUCGCGAACUGCGAUCGAAUCAUCUAGCUCGCAUCGUUUACGGCUGGGACUACCCGGGUAUCUAAUCCGGUUCGCUCCCCCAGCUUUCACCCCUCACCGUCGAGCGCGUUCUGGCGGACCGCCUUCGCCACUGGUGGUCUUCCGCGGAUCAAAGGAUUUUACCCCUACACGCGGAGUACCGUCCGCCUCUCCCGCCUCCUAGUCCCGCGGUAUCCUCUGCAGGCCAGCCGUUGAGCGGCUGGAUUUAACAGAGGACUGACGGAACCGGCUACGGGUGCUUUAGGCCCAAUAAUCGUCCCGACCACUCGAGGAGCUGGUAUUACCGCGGCGGCUGACACCAGACUUGCCCUCCCCUUAUUCCC